This is a long non-coding RNA of Larimichthys crocea (large yellow croaker), 310 nucleotides long. RefSeq lists it as uncharacterized. The transcript has 3 exons. The record is from RefSeq and is a predicted model, not a curated record. NCBI's taxonomy places the organism in Eukaryota, Metazoa, Chordata, Actinopteri, Sciaenidae.
GAUAACCGUGACAACCAGGAGGAGCGACAGGACAGAGACCACAGAGGUUCUCGUCUCCAGCUGCUCAACAUCUGUCGCGCUUUCAACCACAGAGAGCGAGACGGGAAACAGCGAGAGCAAGACAGCAACCAGACCUCAAACAGGACCACCACAGAGAGGACAGACAGCUGCUCUGAUACACCCCCUGAGAAAAGGACACAGAAUUUUGCAACCCUAAUCAGAGGUCAGGUGGGCAGAGGUCAGGUUACCUACCAGGAAGGGUCCGUGUUCUGUUAGCAGUCCGUCCAGAGAGCUGCAGCCAGGACCGCCG